This 490-nucleotide ribosomal RNA is filed under the name uncultured bacterium. RNAcentral describes it as "partial 16S ribosomal RNA". It matches the Rfam family "Bacterial small subunit ribosomal RNA", at positions 29 to 507 of the family's 1533-position model. The record is from RNAcentral.
AGUGAACGCUGGCGGUAGGCCUAACACAUGCAAGUCGAACGGCAGCACAGGAGAGCUUGCUCUCUGGGUGGCGAGUGGCGGACGGGUGAGGAAUACAUCGGAAUCUGCCCAGUCGUGGGGGAUAACGUAGGGAAACUUACGCUAAUACCGCAUACGACCUUCGGGUGAAAGAGGGGGAUCGCAAGACCUCUCGCGAUUGGAUGAGCCGAUGUCGGAUUAGCUAGUUGGCGGGGUAAUGGCCCACCAAGGCGACGAUCCGUAGCUGGUCUGAGAGGAUGAUCAGCCACACUGGAACUGAGACACGGUCCAGACUCCUACGGGAGGCAGCAGUGGGGAAUAUUGGACAAUGGGCGCAAGCCUGAUCCAACCAUACCGCGUGGGUGAAGAAGGCCUUCGGGUUGUAAAGCCCUUUUGUUGGGAAAGAAAUCUUUCAGGCUAAUACCCUGGGAGGAUGACGGUACCCAAAGAAUAAGCACCGGCUAACUUCGUG